RNAcentral lists this long non-coding RNA (525 nucleotides) under Mustela putorius furo (domestic ferret). RNAcentral describes it as "lncRNA (ENSMPUG00000026912.1)". The record is from RNAcentral. Lineage: Eukaryota; Metazoa; Chordata; Mammalia; Carnivora; Mustelidae.
AUGAGCCCACUACUGUCCACUGACACAUCAUGGAGAUUGAACGUUGUACAGCAUCAGGUCCUAAAGUCAGGUCCUACCAGAUACAGAUAUAUCUCCCUCGCCCUGAAGAAAACAGCCACCAUGCUCCAAGUAGCUCAAUGGAGAGAUCCAAGCCCAGUGUGCAACCAGCAGCCAGCGAGGACCCAUGGCCUGCUCACAUGGGACCUCCCCCAGUCCACCUUUGGGAUGACAGCAGCCCCAGCCGAUGACAUUACAGCCUUGUGAGAGACCCUGAAUCAGAGGCGUCUAGCGAAGCUGCACCCAGAGUCUCGACCCUCUACAACUCCAGCAAAAUUAUGAGAUUAUAAAUGUGCAUCAUUUGAAGCCACUAAAUUUGGGGGGCAUUUUGUUAUGUGCCAGUAGAUAACAAAUAUAGACUCUUAAUCUAUGUUGCAAAGAGGAAACUCACCAAUAAGAAUGUGCAUGAAUUUAUCCUUUGGAAUAAAUUAGACAAUCGGGAUCCUAAUAAAAUUCUGCAAAUGUCCG